RNAcentral lists this unclassified non-coding RNA (347 nucleotides) under soil metagenome. Its description in RNAcentral is "partial contains 5.8S ribosomal RNA, internal transcribed spacer 2, and large subunit ribosomal RNA". The stretch from base 1 to 120 matches the Rfam family "5.8S ribosomal RNA", at positions 35 to 154 of the family's 154-position model. The record is from RNAcentral.
GAUGAAGAACGCAGCGAAAUGCGAUAAGUAAUGUGAAUUGCAGAAUUCAGUGAAUCAUCGAAUCUUUGAACGCACAUUGCGCCCGCCAGUAUUCUGGCGGGCAUGCCUGUCUGAGCGUCAUUUCAACCCUCAUGCCCCUAGGGCGUGGUGUUGGGGAUCGGCCAAAGCCCGCGAGGGACGGCCGGCCCUAAAUCUAGUGGCGGACCCGUCGUGGCCUCCUCUGCGAAGUAGUGAUAUUCCGCAUCGGAGAGCGAUGAGCCCCUGCCGUUAAACCCCCAACUUUCCAAGGUUGACCUCAGAUCAGGUAGGAAUACCCGCUGAACUUAAGCAUAUCAAUAAGCGGAGGA